AUUGAACGCUGGCGGCAGGCUUAACACAUGCAAGUCGAGCGGGGUGAUGGUGCUUGCACUAUCACUUAGCGGCGGACGGGUGAGUAAUGCUUAGGAAUCUGCCCAUUAGUGGGGGUCAACAUCUCGAAAGGGAUGCUAAUACCGCAUACGUCCUACGGGAGAAAGCAGGGGAUCACUUGUGACCUUGCGCUAAUAGAUGAGCCUAAGUCGGAUUAGCUAGUUGGUGGGGUAAAGGCCUACCAAGGCGACGAUCUGUAGCGGGUCUGAGAGGAUGAUCCGCCACACUGGGACUGAGACACGGCCCAGACUCCUACGGGAGGCAGCAGUGGGGAAUAUUGGACAAUGGGGGGAACCCUGAUCCAGCCAUGCCGCGUGUGUGAAGAAGGCCUUAUGGUUGUAAAGCACUUUAAGCGAGGAGGAGGCUCUUUUGGUUAAUACCCAAGAUGAGUGGACGUUACUCGCAGAAUAAGCACCGGCUAACUCUGUGCCAGCCGCCGCGGUAA
This 503-nucleotide ribosomal RNA is filed under the name uncultured bacterium. RNAcentral's name for it is "partial 16S ribosomal RNA". It matches the Rfam family "Bacterial small subunit ribosomal RNA", at positions 30 to 523 of the family's 1533-position model. The record is from RNAcentral.